RNAcentral lists this ribosomal RNA (491 nucleotides) under uncultured bacterium. Its description in RNAcentral is "partial 16S ribosomal RNA". It matches the Rfam family "Bacterial small subunit ribosomal RNA", at positions 29 to 507 of the family's 1533-position model. The record is from RNAcentral.
AGUGAACGCUGGCGGUAGGCCUAACACAUGCAAGUCGAACGGCAGCACAGUAAGAGCUUGCUCUUACGGGUGGCGAGUGGCGGACGGGUGAGGAAUACAUCGGAAUCUACUUUUUCGUGGGGGAUAACGUAGGGAAACUUACGCUAAUACCGCAUACGACCUACGGGUGAAAGCAGGGAUUCUUGGACCUUUCGCGGAUGAAAGAGACGAUGUCGGGUUUGCUAGUUGGGGGGGUAAAGGCCCACCAAGGCGACGAUCCGUAGCUGGUCUGAGAGGAUGAGCAGCCACACUGGAACUGAGACACGGUCCAGCCUCCUACGGGAGGCAGCAGUGGGGAAUAUUGGACAAUGGGCGCAGGCCUGAUCCAGCCAUACCGCGUGGGUGAAGAAGGCCUUCGGGUUGUAAAGCCCUUUUGUUGGGAAAGAAAAGCAGCAGGUUAAUACCCCGCUGUUCUGACGGUACCCAAAGAAUAAGCACCGGCUAACUUCGUG